UUGAUUUAUCAGUACAUAAACUAAAAUUGGACAGAGAGAGAAAAGAUUAGGUUGGCCCUUGUGUUAAGAAUGACAUGUAAAUUUGUGAAGUAUUCCAUAUUGAA
RNAcentral lists this small nuclear RNA (104 nucleotides) under Sciurus vulgaris (Eurasian red squirrel). The record is from RNAcentral. Lineage: Eukaryota; Metazoa; Chordata; Mammalia; Rodentia; Sciuridae.